This 1089-nucleotide ribosomal RNA is filed under the name Triticum aestivum (bread wheat). RNAcentral's name for it is "partial small subunit ribosomal RNA". The record is from RNAcentral. Lineage: Eukaryota; Viridiplantae; Streptophyta; Magnoliopsida; Poales; Poaceae.
AUGAUUCCUUGGCCGGAGAUCGACGACGACAACGGAGAUGUUGUCCGAGCUGUUCUUGGUCAGAGCCAGCUUGGUGAGCAUGGCCGCCGCCUCGGCGCACCACCUGUCUCUGCCCCUCCGGAGGCAGGCCCGCGCCACCUCGCACGCUGUCUCGUUGUUGACCACGUCCCACAGGCCGUCGCUGGCAAGGAUCAGGCACUCGUCGCCGGCCGCCCUGUCGGUCACCGUCACCUCCGGGACCGCCGUCACGAACGGCUUCAGGUAGCCGUCGCCGAUGGCGCGCGACAUGGCCAGAACGCCCAGCACCCUCGCGCCCUCCCAGAAUAUGACGCGGCCGCCGGCCGCCUCGAUCCUCUCCAGCUCGUCCGGCCUGUCGGGCUUGUGGUCGGAGGAGAGGACGACGGGCGCGCCGUCGCGGCAGAGGACGGCGCGGGAGUCGCCGCAGUUGGCCACCAGGACGCGCUGCUCCCCCACGACGGCCACCACGGCCGUGGACCCCACGUGGUCGCACUUGUUGGCCUCGCAGCGGCAGCUGGCGCUGUCGCCGCCCCCGCUGGCGGUCACCUCGGCGUCCAUCCUCGCGAAACUGCGCUCCAUUGCGCCGGUCCAGGACUCGGGCUGGGCCGCGCCGGCGAGCUCCUCGGCAACGAGCUCGUGCAUCCGGUCUCUGCACGCGUCCGCCACGUGCGAGCAGCCGUGUCCGUCGAAAACGCCGUAGAAGUCGCGCCUGGGCUUCCCCUCCUCGGCCGGGACGGUGAAGGCCUCCCGUAUGGAGACGGCAUCCUCCAUCUCCCUCCUCCGUCCGGCAACCGACGUGAACCCGUGGCGUUUCGCGGGCACCCCCUCGCCCCCAGCCGCGCGGCGCUUCCUCGUGGCCGCGGCCUCCUCGGCGCCCUGCGGCGCCUCCGCGGUGACCUUCCACCUGGCUGCCGCGUCGCCCGCUCUGCGGCGCCUCCCGGCGCGCGCCCUGGCCCUGGCCUCCGCCUCCGCACCGACCACCACCGCCGACGAGGCCGAGUCACAGCACACCUGCGCCAUCGACAUCAACGCCAAGAAACCCCUCUUGCUCUAGACAAGAACACCGUCUGA